This 501-nucleotide ribosomal RNA is filed under the name uncultured bacterium. RNAcentral describes it as "partial 16S ribosomal RNA". It matches the Rfam family "Bacterial small subunit ribosomal RNA", at positions 30 to 523 of the family's 1533-position model. The record is from RNAcentral.
AUUGAACGCUGGCGGCAGGCUUAACACAUGCAAGUCGAGCGGGGAAAAGUAGCUUGCUACUUUACCUAGCGGCGGACGGGUGAGUAAUGCUUAGGAAUCUGCCUAUUAGUGGGGGACGACAUCUCGAAAGGGAUGCUAAUACCGCAUACGUCCUACGGGAGAAAGCAGGGGACCUUCGGGCCUUGCGCUAAUAGAUGAGCCUAAGUCGGAUUAGCUAGUUGGUGGGGUAAAGGCCUACCAAGGCGACGAUCUGUAGCGGGUCUGAGAGGAUGAUCCGCCACACUGGGACUGAGACACGGCCCAGACACCUACGGGAGGCAGCAGUGGGGAAUAUUGGACAAUGGGGGGAACCCUGAUCCAGCCAUGCCGCGUGUGUGAAGAAGGCCUUUUGGCUGUAAAGCACUUUAAGCGAGGAGGAGGCUACCGAGAUUAAUACUCUUGGAUAGUGGACGUUACUCGCAGAAUAAGCACCGGCUAACUCUGUGCCAGCCGCCGCCGUAA